Molecule: ribosomal RNA, 492 nt
Filed under: uncultured bacterium
Lineage: Bacteria
Description: partial 16S ribosomal RNA
Rfam family: Bacterial small subunit ribosomal RNA
Source: RNAcentral
AUUGAACGCUGGCGGCAUGCUUUACACAUGCAAGUCGAACGGUAACAGGCCUUCGGGUGCUGCCGAGUAGCGUACGGGUGAGUAAUGCAUCGGAACGUGCCCAGAGGGGGGGGUUAACGCAGCGAAAGCUGUGCUAAUACCGCAUGUGAUCUGAGGAAGAAAGCGGGGGACCAGGCAGCAAUGUUUGGCGUCGCGCCUUUGAAGCGGCCGUUGUUUGAUUAGGUAGUUGGUGGGGUAAAGGCCUACCAAGCCGACGAUCUGUAGCUGGUCUGAGAGGGCGACCAGCCACACUGGGACUGAGACACGGCCCAGACUCCUACGGGAGGCAGCAGUGGGGAAUUUUGGACAAUGGGCGAAAGCCUGAUCCAGCAAUGCCGCGUGCGGGAAGAAGGCCUUCGGGUUGUAAACCGCUUUUGUACGGAACGAAAAGGCUCUGGCUAAUACCUGGGGCUGAUGACGGUACCGUAAGAAUAAGCACCGGCUAACUACGUG